This 307-nucleotide ribosomal RNA is filed under the name uncultured bacterium. RNAcentral's name for it is "bacterial SSU rRNA". It matches the Rfam family "Bacterial small subunit ribosomal RNA", at positions 28 to 334 of the family's 1533-position model. The record is from RNAcentral.
GAUGAACGCUGGCGGCGUGCUUAACACAUGCAAGUCGAACGGAUGCAAGGGGCUUGCUCCUUGCAUUAGUGGCGGACGGGUGAGUAACGCGUGAGCAAUCUGCCCAUAUCUGGGGGAUAACAGUUAGAAAUGACUGCUAAUACCGCAUAUGACCACAGGGAGGCAUCUCCCAGGGGUGAAAGAUUUAUCGGAUAUGGAUGAGCUCGCGUCCCAUUAGGUAGUUGGUGAGGUAACGGCCCACCAAGCCGACGAUGGGUAGCCGGCCUUAGAGGGCGAUCGGCCACAUUGGAACUGAGAUACGGUCCAA